Molecule: unclassified non-coding RNA, 243 nt
Filed under: Glomus sp.
Lineage: Eukaryota; Fungi; Glomeromycota; Glomeromycetes; Glomerales; Glomeraceae
Description: partial contains 5.8S ribosomal RNA and internal transcribed spacer 2
Rfam family: 5.8S ribosomal RNA (bases 1-71)
Source: RNAcentral
GUGAAUCAUCAAAUCUUUGAACGCAAAUUGCACCCUCUGGUAUUCUGGAGAGUAUGCCUGUUUGAGGGUCAGUUCAAAUCAAAAUCGGUGUGGUUGCUGCCUUUCGUGGUGAAGUACCGGUCUUGGGUCGUCUUGCCUUUGGCUAAGUGACCUAAAAUCUUGCAUGUCUUUUUCGAACGUAUUUAAAUGACUCUACGUACGUUUGCGAUAUCGCAUACUCGGUGUGGUGACCCUCAUUAAUCG